GACUCUCGGCAACGGAUAUCUUGGCUCUCGCAUCGAUGAAGAACGUAGCGAAAUGCGAUACUUGGUGUGAAUUGCAGAAUCCCGUGAAUCAUCGAGUCUUUGAACGCAAGUUGCGCCCUAGGCCGUCAGGCCGAGGGCACGCCUGCCUGGGCGUCACGCACCGAGUCGCCCCCACUCUCGUGGGAGCGGAUAUUGGCUCCCCGUGCCCCGGCGCGGUCGGCCUAAACAAGGGCCCCGGGAGGCCAGCGUCACGAUCCGUGGUGGUUGUAAAAGACACGCCUGGAACCGGAUCACGUGGCGCUCGAGCCGUCCCCCGGGCCAUCGGGACCCCACAGGGCCGUCUCCGGACGGCACCCACUCU
This 361-nucleotide unclassified non-coding RNA is filed under the name Ehrendorferia ochroleuca. RNAcentral's name for it is "sequence contains 5.8S rRNA gene and ITS2". The stretch from base 1 to 156 matches the Rfam family "5.8S ribosomal RNA". The record is from RNAcentral. Lineage: Eukaryota; Viridiplantae; Streptophyta; Magnoliopsida; Ranunculales; Papaveraceae.